This 2623-nucleotide ribosomal RNA is filed under the name groundwater metagenome. Its description in RNAcentral is "bacterial LSU rRNA". It matches the Rfam family "Archaeal large subunit ribosomal RNA", at positions 15 to 2197 of the family's 2987-position model. The record is from RNAcentral.
AUUCUGUUAGAUGAAUAGCUUGGUUUUGGUAAAUAAGACGUGGCAAGCUGCGAUAAGCUUGGGCGAGUUGCAUGCAAACUUUGACCCCAAGAUUUCUAAACUCAGAGAUGAGGAAAAACGCGGGGAAUUGAAACAUCUUAGUACCCGCAGGAAAAGAAAAUAAUUAUUGAUAUCCUGAUUAGCAGCGAGCGAAAAGGAUAAAGGGCAAACUGAAUCCGUCGAUGAAAGUUGAUUGGAGAUGUGGUGAACAUAAAUGCCUAAGUAGAAGAGUCAAACUCAACUGGAAAGUCAGGCCUUAGAGGGUGAUAGCCCCGUAGACAAAUUCUAUAUGGUGUUGUUCAAAGAGUAGGGCAUCUUGGAUUAGGUGUCUGAAUACAGCAGGAUUAACUGCUAACCCUAAACAUAACCAAAGUCCGAUAGCGCAAUAGUACCGCGAGGGAAAGCUGAAAAGUACUCUUAAUAGAGGAUGAAAAGACUUGAAGUCUAACAGAUACAGAUUGUUACGGAUUUACCUCUUACGAGGAAAAAAUUUGUAACGUACGUUUUGAAGAACGGGCCAGGGAGUUUCUCUAUGUGGCGAGGCUAACCUUCUAUGAAGGGUAACCGGAGCGAAAGCAAGUCAGAAAUGGCGUCAGUCACAUGGAUAAGACCUGAAGCCGGGUGAUCUAUUCGUGGGCAAGAUGAAGUCUCUCGAAAGAGGGAUGGAGGUCUAAACGAGUGUUGGGUACAUCCAUUUCGAUGACCUGUGAAUAGGAGUGAAAAGCCUAUCUAACCCGGCAAUGGCUGGUUCCCGCUGAAAUAUGCCUCCGUAUAGUCUCGUCUAUCUUGUUAUCGGUGUAAAGUACGAAUAAAAUUCGCAGGGGCUUUUGCCUUCGGGAUUUUUUUCAACUCAGAAUCUGAUAAUUGACUAUGACGGGAAACAGGGUGUGUACGUAAGGUACACCUCCGAGACCAGAAUAAUGGAGACCAAAGUUAAGGCCCCAAAAUGUUUGCUAAGUGUAUAUAAAAGGUGUCUUAAACCUGAGACAGUAGGGAUGUAAGCUUAGAAGCAGCUAUCAUUCAAAGAAAGCGUAACAGCUCACCUAUCAAGGUUCAAGGCCCUGAAAAUGGACGGGGCUAAGCAAACUGCCGACACUUUGGCAGCGCUCAAUGAGUGUUUGGGUAAGCGGGCGUACUUAUUGCGCAGAAAUAUCUUCGAGAGAAGGUGUGGAGCGAUAAGUAAUGAGAAUCCUGGCAAUAGUAGGAAGUGACUUUCCUGAGAACGGAAAGUGUCGAAAGAGCAAGGUUUUCUUGGCAAUAUUCGUUAGCCAAGAGUUAGUCAGGCCCUAAGUCGUACCUUAACUGAGUACGACGAUGGAUGACAGGUUAAUAUUCCUGUACUGCUAAAAUUUGUAUUGUGCGUUUUUGGAUAAGCGAGCAUCCGAGAGGAUGUUUUGAUAAAGAAAAUAAUCGAGCGUAAUGCUUAGACAUUAAAGAAUUUUUCAAACAAAAUCGCUGAUUCCGGGAGCCAAUGAAAAACACAAUGCUUACGGUUUUAGUAUCUGUACCCACAACCGACACUGGUGCUCUGGCUGAGAAAGCUAAGACAUGAAAGGUAAAAGUGAUUAAGGGAAUUCGGCAUAUUGGCCCUGUAGCUUCGGUUCAAGGGGUGUCUAUUUUUGUGUACUUCGCAAUGUUGUAUGCAUCAGUAGAUCUCAGUAACAAAGGCGGCCCGACUGUUUACCAAAAACGUAGCCGAGUGCUAAUCCGAAAGGACUUGUAUACUCGGUGAGACCUGCCCAGUAGCGGUGUUUCAAACUCUUUUUCAAAAGAGCUAAGACCCGCCAAACGGCGGAGGUAACUAUGACCUUCUUAAGGUUACAAAUUAAUACGAACUUUCGUAUUACGUUGCUUUACGGUACUCGUCGACAAAACGAGUAACGCUCUAAAGGCAUAGUUAAAUUGAUAAUCAGAAGAACAAACAGAGAAAAUCGAGCUAUUUGCUGGAACAUCCGAGAAUGUUAAAUUACUCGUCAAUAAAACGACAGUGAAAAUAUUUAACUGCGGAUUAUCAGCAGGAAAGACUAGAAUAAAUAAAUAUAUAAACCACUUAUUUACAUAUUUUUAUGGUAAAAGAAUAUGACAAAUCAGAAGUACAAUGGAAAGACUUUAUUCCUUAUGUAGGCACUAUGGAAUAUUUUUCAAGGAAUAAAGAAGAAGCAAGUAAAUCUCCAAGGAUUGCUUUUAAUAAUGUAAUGCUUGGAUUGUACAACGCAUUUCUCUAUGCUGCUGCAAUAGCAGUGGCAUACAAAGGUUUAGAAAAAUUAAUUCAUUAAUUCUAGAAUCCUCAGAGACUUUACGCUCGAGAUAAUUUAAAAUUAUCAAGAUAAAGUCCGAACUUCAUAGCGAUAUGAAGAUGUUAAUAGAAAUAUUAACACAAGAUUUUUUAUUUUAAAUAAAAUAAAAACAGUAACAAAGUUUGAGCGUAAUGCCUUGUCGUCUGAAUGGCGACGUGCAUGAAUGGUUCAACGAGGUUGUCACUGUCCCUAACCAGCACCUUCUGAACUCACUUGAUGGUGAAAAUGCCAUCGUCGCCUAGUGGGAAGCGGAGACCUUGUGAACCUUUACUGCAACUUGUUGUUGU